UACGGGGGGGGCAAGCGUUGUUCGGAAUUACUGGGCGUAAAGGGUUCGUAGGUGGCCAACUAAGUCAGACGUGAAAUCCCUCAGCUUAACUGGGGAACUGCGUCUGAUACUGGUUGGCUUGAGUGCAGGAGAGGAAUGCGGAAUUCCAGGUGUAGCGGUGAAAUGCGUAGAUAUCUGGAGGAACACCGGUGGCGAAGGCGGCAUUCUGGACUGCAACUGACGCUGAGGCGCGAAAGCUAGGGGAGCAAACGGG
RNAcentral lists this ribosomal RNA (253 nucleotides) under uncultured bacterium. Its description in RNAcentral is "partial 16S ribosomal RNA". It matches the Rfam family "Bacterial small subunit ribosomal RNA", at positions 524 to 776 of the family's 1533-position model. The record is from RNAcentral.